CAGUAGCCACGGUAAUACGAAGGGGGCUAGCGUUGUUCGGAAUUACUGGGCGUAAAGCGCACGUAGGCGGCUUGGUAAGUUAGAGGUGAAAGCCUGGAGCUCAACUCCAGAAUUGCCUUUAAGACUGCCGAGCUAGCAGGUGAGAGAGGUAAGUGGAAUUCCGAGUGUAGAGGUGAAAUUCGUAGAUAUUCGGAAGAACACCAGUGGCGAAGGCGGCUUACUGGCUCAUACUGGACGCUGAGGUGCGAAAGCGUGGGGAGCAAACAGGAUUAGAGACCCCUGUAGUCCCUGUCUCUUAUAC
RNAcentral lists this ribosomal RNA (301 nucleotides) under uncultured bacterium. RNAcentral's name for it is "partial 16S ribosomal RNA". It matches the Rfam family "Bacterial small subunit ribosomal RNA", at positions 509 to 807 of the family's 1533-position model. The record is from RNAcentral.